Molecule: ribosomal RNA, 406 nt
Filed under: uncultured bacterium
Lineage: Bacteria
Description: partial 16S ribosomal RNA
Rfam family: Bacterial small subunit ribosomal RNA
Source: RNAcentral
AUUGAACGCUGGCGGCAGGCCUAACACAUGCAAGUCGAACGAGUGGCGGACGGGUGAGUAAUGUCUGGGAAACUGCCUGAUGGAGGGGGAUAACUACUGGAAACGGUAGCUAAUACCGCAUACCAUCAGAUGUGCCCAGAGGGGAUUAGCUUGUUGGUGGGGUAACGGCUCACCAAGGCGACGAUCCCUAGCUGGUCUGAGAGGAUGACCAGCCACACUGGGACUGAGACACGGUCCAGACUCCUACGGGAGGCAGCAGUGGGGAAUAUUGCACAAUGGGCGAAAGCCUGAUGCAGCCAUGCCGCGUGAAUGAAGAAGGCCUUCGGGUUGUAAAGUACUGUUGGUGGGGAAGCGUUACCCAAAGAAGAAGCACCGGCUAACUCCGUGCCAGCAGCCGCGGUAAUAC